This 483-nucleotide ribosomal RNA is filed under the name uncultured bacterium. Its description in RNAcentral is "partial 16S ribosomal RNA". It matches the Rfam family "Bacterial small subunit ribosomal RNA", at positions 28 to 507 of the family's 1533-position model. The record is from RNAcentral.
GACGAACGCUGGCGGCGUGCUUAACACAUGCAAGUCGAACGCUGAAGCUCAGCUUUUGUUGGGUGGAUGAGUGGCGAACGGGUGAGUAACACGUGAGUAACCUGCCUCCUUCUUUGGGAUAACGCCCGGAAACGGGUGCUAAUACUGGAUAUUCACUGGUCUUCGCAUGGGGGUUGGUGGAAAGGGUUUUUCUGGUGGGGGAUGGGCUCGCGGCCUAUCAGCUUGUUGGUGGGGUGAUGGCCUACCAAGGCUUUGACGGGUAGCCGGCCUGAGAGGGUGACCGGUCACAUUGGGACUGAGAUCCGGCCCAGACUCCUACGGGAGGCAGCAGUGGGGAAUAUUGCACAAUGGGCGCAAGCCUGAUGCAGCGACGCCGCGUGAGGGAUGGGGGCCUUCGGGUUGUGAACCUCUUUCGCUCAUGGUCAAGCCGCAACAAUGGUUGUGGUGAGGGUAGUGGGUAAAGAAGCGCCGGCUAACUACGUG